GCGCUGCUCACCCACGCCGUACUUCUCCUCGCGCUUGGUGGGCACCCAGCGCGUCAUGGCGCCGCCGGAGCCGCCGCGGGUCGGGCAGGAAACUCCGCGUCUAGGCCGCCAUUUUCCAUUCCUUUCGAGCCGCGACAGGAUGGGGAGGAAAAAGUUUGCGGCGGAGGCGGCGUCAUGUGGGACGGGGCGGGCGGAGCGUCGCGGGCCGGAUGGGAAAGGCCGGGAGCGCCGGCGGGAGGCGGGACGGCCGCGGGCUCUGCGCCCGCCCUCGGCGCGGACCCUGGGCCCCGACCCCGCGGUCGCCGGGGCUCCCCUUCCUCUGUCCCAGUGCGCCCAGCCCCGCGCUCCGCACCCGGGCACCCCCGCGGGGUUCUCCUGAGUUCCUGGAGCUCCCGGGGCUGGCGCUCACGCCGUGAGAGGGGUGCGCCCUUAGGGGGGCGGGACGGACGGGGGGUUUCUACGGGAGGUAGGAAACGGGCGGCUUGCAAGGCGCGGGCUUAGGCCGGAGCCUGGUGGUGCGAGGUCCCCAGCUCGGAUUUCUCCCUGGUGGAGAGUCCCGGAGCAGAACAAACCAGCAGAGGCUCUGGAAAGGGUCCUCCUGAGCACGUGGCUCAUUCAUUCAUUCGACAAACGUUACCUGAGCGCCUGCCCACUCAUUGCCCGAGUGUGCUGGGAGCGCCGCACCAACUGCCUGGUAGGUGGGAGAAGGGACACGUCAGGUAACAAACAGCACAGGUAAGUGCCGGCCACUCAAAUGGGGUGGAAAGAGGUGGCACAGCGCUGCCGAGGGAGUGCGUUCCAGACAGGUGACCUCUUGCUUGGGUGCUGAAUGAGUGGAGUUUUCCAGAGAGACCAAGAGGAAGCAGCCGCAGAAACCUCAGCCCAGCUGGGCUUGCAGAAGCUAAUGCUAGAAUAGUUGUGGGACUCAGGAUCUGCUGAAGUCGGGGGAAGAGAGAAGUAGGGAAAGGAAAGCCCAGGCCACGCGUGGGGCUCAGGAACGGCAUCCUCGCCCGAGGUGGGAGUUCUUCUCAGGCCCUGGUGUUUCCCAUGACAGUAAAAGGUGGGGGCUUCAGAUUUCUCCAAGGGAAAAGUUAAAGCAACACACACCUAUUUAUUUUUACUGUAAUUUCAGAAAAGAGAGGUUAAAACCAAGACAUGGACAAAGCCUCCGAAUGAAGGCAGCCCUUUAAAUGGAAUAAAUUUGGUUUCAUGGCACAUUAAUGGGGUGUCUUCUCUCCGAAGACACAGAGACAACUACAGUAGGUCUGGGGGCCGUCAGGGAUUGGAGGAACGAAGGUAAGAAAAGGAAGAAGGUAAGAAAAAGAGGUCCCUACCUCUGUGAGGUAGGGACAGUGCUGAACAGCAGGGCUGGGAGAGCCCACAGGGAGGUGGCCAGGAUGGCCACAGGGCCUGGGGAGGACCAGGUGGGGCACCAUCCUGCGGUAGAGAAUGCCCGUCACCUGCCCUAGGGGCCACCCAGAAUGCAGAUUAAAUAAGUAUUUGGGAAUGGCACAGGAGCUUUUCCAUUUUCGUGGGUUAGAGGAAAGCUGCUGCGUUCAAGAGGAUAACGUGGGACCUGAGCAUUCUGGUAAGUCAACCCCACAUUCAUGGAAAGCCACGGGCUCUGUUUUACUGAUAAGGAACUGAAGUCCCACAGAGGAAGUGGCCAGGCUCACUCACACACAGCAUGCACUUGAAGCUUUCUGUGGAAAUCAGAAACCUCCGGGGCUCAGGCGCUGUAGUGGUGGCCUGGUGACUCUGACCCCUUGAAGGAGAAGCAUCUGUGAAGGUGCUGUCCAGGACAAGUAGGGUGCUCUACGGUAAAGGACAUGGUGGCCUGACCUGCUCCAGAGCAGGGAGGCCUCCCUUGAGGAAAUAAGAUAAACCCAGACUUUAAGGAUAAGCAGAAACCAGCUAGGUGAACUGGAGUGGGAACAGCACGUGAAAAGGCCCUGGUUUAGGAAGGAGCACCACUCCUUCAGAGCACAGAAAGGCCAGGAUGGCCGAAGCAUAGGGAACAACAGGAAAGUGACAUAAAUUGAGGCUGCAGAGGUAGAAGAAGGGCCUUAUUGGUCGUGCUAGGAAUUUGGAAUUCUGCAAAGAAGCCUGGGAAACAGAUUUUGGUGACACUCGCCUUCUCUUUAAUGUGCAGUUUCAGUUCUGUUGGUGUGAUUCUGCAUUGGAGAUGGCGUGCUGUAACGAAUGGCCAGGAGCUUAAGAGUCAUGCAGACUUGGGAGGCCUGGCCUUGCCACGCCCAGCUGCAUGGCCAUCCUCCUCCUGUUUCUGGCCGUUCUGUUUCUAAACCUUGGGGUUCUGAUAUUCCUACAUGUAAACUAGGGGCUGUAAUAGGAAUCUCACAGGUGAGUCUUAGGAUUAUAAGAGGAGACAUGACUGCAUGUGUAAGACAUCAUAAUGAUGUGCUUCCUCAUCUGACCCUACCUCCAGGUUCUUUGAUAACCUCAUGGUUCCCAUUUUCUAGAACAGUUGCCACUUGCACUCAGAUAAAGGUGACUCACUGAAUGCAUAAAUAAGUGUAGUGCCGGAUUUGCAUACUUUUGGUAGACUGUCAUAUAAUAAAUUUAUAAAUCAGAAUUUUAAAACUCCAGGUGGGGCCGGGCACAGUGGCCCAUGCUUGUAAUCCCAGCCAGCAUUUUGGGAGGCUGAGGCAGGCAGAUCACUUGAGGUCAGGAGCUCGAGGUCAGCCUGGCCAACCAGGGUUUUAGUAGAAACCCUGUCUGUACUAAAAAUACAAAAAUUAGCUGGGCGUGGGUGCGCAUACCUGUAGUCCCAGCUACUCAGGAGGCUGAGGCAGGAGAAUUGUUUGAACCCAGGAGGUGGAGAUUGCAGUGAAGCAAGAUCGCACCGCUGCACUCCUGCCUGGGUGACAGAGUGAGACUCCAUCUCAAAAACAAACAAAACAAAACUCCAGGUGGACCACGGGCCAGGUGGUUGUAGCUUCAGUCCCUUGAUUGCAACAUGUGCCCAAGUUUGGCUGAGAUGUACCUGUAGCCACGGUCCUUGAAGCCCUGAGAAGAUUUGUCAGCAUCCCCACGGUGCUCCAGCAGUGCUCUCAUCUUGUGGCUCUAAAUCGAGUCCAUGGCCCUCUCUCACUGUCCUAUGGUUGCAUAAGCUCAGAACUGGCUUCGUCUCCAAUUCCAGGAGCCCUGGAGGUUGUGGCCUGUUGACAUUUUUACCUCCUGAGUCAAUGUGGCUGGGCCACAGGUCUCAGUUGCCCUCCCAGGCAUCUUGCAGGACUUGGAUCUGUGCCAAGCUUGUGGGUGUGAACAAGCCCAAGAAUGCUGAGGCUCUCAGUUGCUCAGUGCUGCCCAUCACUGGGAUUUCAGAGUAGUGACCCCCCUCCUCCAAGAUACAACAGAAUCUUGCUUUGGGGCCAUGAAGAACACAAUCAAUAUUACAGUUUUAAAUCUUGAAAAGUACAGUUUUAAUUUUUUUAAUUCCAAAAAAUUUCACACAUGUGCACUGCAAAUUCAGGAGGUAAAUUCAGCAAAAUCUUGCCUGGUGGAGGUACCAGAAGGCACAGUGAGUCAAUGGGGCAUGUUUCUCAGUCGGUGGGGAGAGAUGAGAAUGGAACAGGGAUGUGGAGAUUUUAUGCAGGAAAAGGGGCCUGACCACAGAUUUUUUGCCCUUUGAAAGGAGAGGAACAAGGCCUAUGCCCACUGCCUCUUGGAUUCAGUGGGAGAUCUGGGCAUCAUACUGGAUGACCAGGCAUGUAGUCACAAUGCACAAUGCCACCCAGCCCAAAAGUGUAUAUUCAAGACUUUAGACCCAACUUCGUGCUUACAGGAAAUAGAGGAGGUUGAGGAACAAGUGACACCAUAAGAAAUACAGUGAAACAGGCCAGGCACCGUGGCUCAUGCCUGUAACUCUGAGCACUUUGGGAGGCCGAGAUGGGCAGAUCACCUGAGGUCAGGAGUUCAAGACUAGUCUGGCCAACGUGGUGAAACCCCAUCUCUACUAAAAAAAAAUAUCUGGGCAUGGUGGCAGGCACCUGUAAUCCCAGCUACUCAAGAGGCUGAGGCAUGAGAAGCACUGGAACCCGGGAGGCCGAGGUUGCAGUGAACAGAGAUCGUGCCAUUGCACUCCAGCCUGGGGGAACAAGAGUGAAACUCCAUCUCAAAAAAAAAAAAAAAAGACACUGAAACAAAGCCAGAAGGUAGAAUAUUCUUUCAGGUAGUAGUCUGGUCUCUUCAAUAGUCAAUAUUAUAGAGCAAGAAGGGGCCAGUGGAGAAGAGCUGUUCUAGAUUUUAAAAGAUGUAAGAAAUACAACAUUUGGCCGGGCGCGGUGGCUCACGCCUGUCAUCCCAGCACUUAGGUAGGCCGAGGUGGGCGGAUCAUGAGGUCAGGAGAUCGAGACCAUCCUGGCUAACAUGGUGAAACCCCGUCUCUACUAAAAAUAGAAAAAAUUAGCCGGGCAUGGUGGCAUGCACCUGUAGUCCCAGCUACUCAGGAGGUUGAGGCAGGAGAAUGGCGUGAACCCGGGAGGCGGAGCUUGCAGUGAGCCGAGAUCGCGCCACUGCACUCCAGCCUGGGUGACAGAGCAAGACUCCAUCUCAAAAAAAGAAAAGAAAAGAAAUACAACAUUUAAAUGCACUGUGUUAUCCUUAAUUGGAAACUGCUUUAAUUAUCCAACACUAAAAAAAUGUCAAGGGCAAGAGGUGGUUUGAACUAUGGACUGGUGUUAGAUGAUGUAUUUUUUUUAUUUUGUUAAGUAUAAUAAUAGUUGUUAUGGUUAGGUGGGAAAAGAUCCUUAAAUUUUAGAGCUGCAUGCUGGAGUAUUUAGAAGUGAACCGUCAUUGUAUUUGUUAUUUAAAAUACUACAGGAAUAAACAAGAUGAAGCAAAAUUGCUCAGUCUAGAUAUGGGUCUAUGAGUGUUUCAUCUUUCUACUUUUUUCUCCAUGUUUGAAAUCCUUGGUAAAAUAAAGUCAAAGUGGAGGAAGGAGGAGCUUGAGAUUGAAAAAUCAGUUUGAGAAGCAGCCACCUUGACUGGCUUCACUCUAAUAGCCUGGACGCUGCCUCCACACUCCAGGUGCACUGCUCAGCAUUCUCCAAGAAGAUCAUUAAGGCAGACCCUACGUGUUAAAUUUCAAUCAGUUUCAUUGAGCAAAUAUGCUGUUAAAUAGAGACUGCUGUGUGCUGCGUCAGUGUGCCUUAUGGGCAAAUGUGAUGGUGACUAUAAAUGCAGACCAAGCAGUCCUUCCCACACUGUGUACACAAAGAAAGGAGCUCUGGAACUGGGAGCCAGGACAUCUGCAGGAGGAGAAUUCUGAAGUGAAAGGAGGCCUGGAUAUUGGUUGCAAGGCCUUGUCCCUGGAGCCUGGAUGCUCUCAUACCUUCUACAUCUGGGCCUCUGGGUCCAGGACAGUGCCAGGGAGAGUUCAUAGAAACAAAUGUGUUGAAGACCUUAGCGGUUGUCUGACUCUGAGACAGUUACCUGGCCACUCUUAAGUUUCCUCAUUUUUUUUUUAAUUUUACUUUAAGUUGCGGGAUACAUGUGCAGAACGUGCAGGUUUGUUACAUAGGUAUGCAUGUGCCAUGGUGGUUUGCUGCACCUGUCAACCUUUCAUCUAGGUUUUAAGCCCCUCAUGCAUUAGAUAUUUGUCCUAAUGCUCUCCUUCCCCUUGGCCCCCUGUCAGGUCCUGGUGUGUGUGUUGUCUGGCCCCCACCGUGUCCAUGUGUUCCUAUUGUUCAUCUCCCAUUUAUGAGUGAGAAUAUGUGGUGUUUGGCUUUCUCUUCCUGUGUUAGUUUGCUGAGGAUGAUGGUUUCCAGCUUCAUCCAUGUCCCUGCAGAGGACAUGAUCUCAUCCUUUUCAUGGCUGCAUAGUAUUCCGUGUUGUGUAUAUACCACAUUUUCUUUAUCCAGUCUUUCAUUGGUGGACAUUUGGGUUGGUUUCAUGUCUUUGCUAUUGUAAAUAGUGCUGCAAUAAACAUUAUGUGUGCAUGUGUCUUUAUAGUAAAAUGAUUUCUAUUCCUUUGGGUAUAUACCCAGCAAUGGGAUUACUGGGUCACAUGAUAUUUUUUGGUUCUAGGUCCU
This 6053-nucleotide long non-coding RNA is filed under the name Homo sapiens (human). Its description in RNAcentral is "non-protein coding lnc-C10orf90-2:3". Lineage: Eukaryota; Metazoa; Chordata; Mammalia; Primates; Hominidae. The record is from RNAcentral.